ACGAACGCUGGCGGCGUGCCUAAUACAUGCAAGUCGAACGGUCUUUCUAUGGAAGCUUGCUUCCACUGAGAAGAUAGUGGCGAACGGGUGAGUAACACGUGGGUAACCUGCCCAUAAGAGGGGGAUAACAUCCGGAAACGGGUGCUAAUACCGCAUAGUUUUCUUGAUCGCAUGAUUGAGAAAGGAAAGACGGCCUUUGUGCUGUCGCUUAUGGAUGGACCCGCGGCGUAUUAGUUAGUUGGUGAGGUAACGGCUCACCAAGACGAUGAUACGUAGCCGACCUGAGAGGGUGAUCGGCCACAUUGGGACUGAGACACGGCCCAAACUCCUACGGGAGGCAGCAGUAGGGAAUCUUCCGCAAUGGACGAAAGUCUGACGGAGCAACGCCGCGUGAGUGAAGAAAGGGUUUUCGGAUCGUAAAACUCUGUUGUCAGAGAAGAACAAGUUGGAGAGUAACUGCUCCAGCCUUGACGGUAUCUGACCAGAAAGCCACGGCUAACUACGUGCCAGCCGCCGC
RNAcentral lists this ribosomal RNA (517 nucleotides) under uncultured bacterium. RNAcentral describes it as "bacterial SSU rRNA". It matches the Rfam family "Bacterial small subunit ribosomal RNA", at positions 29 to 518 of the family's 1533-position model. The record is from RNAcentral.